UGGGGAAUUUUGGACAAUGGGCGAAAGCCUGAUCCAGCAAUGCCGCGUGUGUGAAGAAGGCCUUCGGGUUGUAAAGCACUUUUGUCCGGAAAGAAAUCCUUGGCUCUAAUACAGUCGGGGGAUGACGGUACCGGAAGAAUAAGCACCGGCUAACUACGUGCCAGCAGCCGCGGUAAUACGUAGGGUGCAAGCGUUAAUCGGAAUUACUGGGCGUAAAGCGUGCGCAGGCGGUUUGCUAAGACCGAUGUGAAAUCCCCGGGCUCAACCUGGGAACUGCAUUGGUGACUGGCAGGCUAGAGUAUGGCAGAGGGGGGUAGAAUUCCACGUGUAGCAGUGAAAUGCGUAGAGAUGUGGAGGAAUACCGAUGGCGAAGGCAGCCCCCUGGGCCAAUACUGACGCUCAUGCACGAAAGCGUGGGGGAGCAAACAGGAUUAGAUACCCUGGUAGUCCACGCCCUAAACGAUGUCAACUAGUUGUUGGGGAUUCAUUUCCUUAGUAACGUAGCUAACGCGUGAGUUGACCGCCUGGGGAGUACGGUCGCAAGAUU
RNAcentral lists this ribosomal RNA (547 nucleotides) under uncultured bacterium. Its description in RNAcentral is "partial 16S ribosomal RNA". It matches the Rfam family "Bacterial small subunit ribosomal RNA", at positions 355 to 895 of the family's 1533-position model. The record is from RNAcentral.